UGCAAAGUUUGGGAUCCACAGUCUACAAAACCCCACAUCCCCUGAGAAUUCUCUCGCCUGCCUUAGGCACUUAGGCUCCGGGAGAUUGCAAAUAACCUGCUUUCUUUCUGUUCCCGGGCUGCGUUCGGACUCCUGUCAGAUAGUAAAUCCUAAGUAAGGUGGCGUCGGACCCCUGUCAGAGAGUAAAUCUCAAGUAAGGUACCUGCCAUCGGCAGAUUUGAGCUUUCUUCUUGGACACCUAAUACCCACAGUCCUCCAGGCUCCGGUAGACUGCAAAUGACCUGCUUUCUUUCUGUUCCCGGGCUGCGUUUGGACCCCUGUCGGAUAGUAAAUCCCAAGCUCCGGUAGACUGCAAAUGACCUGCUUUCUUUCUGUUCCCGGGCUGCGUUUGGACCCCUGUCGGACAGUAAAUCCCAAGAAUGGAACAGAUAAGAAGAUACUGAAAUUGGACGGUGCUGCCGUGCGGCUGCCGCAGGACACCUUUAAUAUCCCUGUUUCUCAGGCUGUAGAUGAAGGGGUUCAGCAUGGAGGUGAUCACCGUGUACAUCACUGAGGCCACUGCAGCCUUUCUCGGGGAAGAUGACACAUCUGAACUGAGGUACCCUCCAAAGCCUGUUCCGUAAAAUCAGCAAACAACUGACAGGAUAACUUCAGGAAGUGGGUAUUAAUUCUCACGGUAUAAGUGAAGACAUUAAGCACCAGAGUUUAAGUAGCUUGAUCCACUGAAAGAGAUUCAACUGUGUGGAACCUAUGCCGUGGAGAAUUGCUUUCUGCCAUUGUUAUCGUCCAGCAGUUGCCGAAUAGCUCUGACCUGAGCAAAGCAGUGAAACGCGGUGCUGUUGAGUGGGUUGCCACUGCACCUUUUUCAACUACUCUAGUCUUGUGGAGAAAAUACCCCUUCUAAAUUUUUUCUUCAUUGAAUACUCUCCCUCAGCUCCAGAGUACCAUAUAGAGUUUUCUUGUAUUUUAGAGUUACUGUUUUAUCAAAGUUUACCAGUCUUUUGUAUUACAUUUCUCCUGUCUAAA
This 1026-nucleotide long non-coding RNA is filed under the name Homo sapiens (human). RNAcentral's name for it is "HSALNT0373184". The record is from RNAcentral. Lineage: Eukaryota; Metazoa; Chordata; Mammalia; Primates; Hominidae.